Molecule: RNase P RNA, 392 nt
Filed under: Desulfosarcina sp.
Lineage: Bacteria; Pseudomonadati; Thermodesulfobacteriota; Desulfobacteria; Desulfobacterales; Desulfosarcinaceae
Description: RNase P RNA component class A
Rfam family: Bacterial RNase P class A
About the family: Ribonuclease P (RNase P) is a ubiquitous endoribonuclease, found in archaea, bacteria and eukarya as well as chloroplasts and mitochondria. Its best characterised activity is the generation of mature 5'-ends of tRNAs by cleaving the 5'-leader elements of precursor-tRNAs. Cellular RNase Ps are ribonucleoproteins.
Source: RNAcentral
GGAGUAGACCAGGUGAUCGCUGGUCCCUCUUCGGGGACUGGAGGAAAGUCCGAACACCACAGGGCAGGGUGCUCCAUAACGUGGAGUCACGGUGACGUGAAGGCAAGUGCAACAGAGAGCAGACCGCCCUGCCGUUUUGGCAGGGUAAGGGUGAAACGGUGCGGUAAGAGCGCACCAGUUCUUCGGGUGACCGGAGAAGCUAGGUAAACCCCACCCGGUGCAAGACCAAAUAGGGGAGCGUUGGGGCUGCGGCCCCUAGAGGGCGGCCCGUCCAAGCUCCCGGGUAGGUCGCUCGAGGUGCCGGGCAAUCGGCAUCCCAGAUGAAUGAUCGCCGCCUCCGAUCCGGGUAACCGGCCGGGGGAACAGAAUUCGGCUUACGGGCUGCUUCGACC